UACGUAGGGCGCAAGCGUUGUCCGGAAUUAUUGGGCGUAAAGAGCUUGUAGGCGGUUUGUCGCGUCUGCUGUGAAAUUUCGGGGCUCAACCCCGAACUUGCAGUGGGUACGGGCAGACUAGAGUGUGGUAGGGGAGACUGGAAUUCCUGGUGUAGCGGUGAAAUGCGCAGAUAUCAGGAGGAACACCGAUGGCGAAGACAGGUCUCUGGGCCAUAACUGACGCUGAGAAGCGAAAGCAUGGGGAGCGAACAGG
This 253-nucleotide ribosomal RNA is filed under the name uncultured bacterium. RNAcentral's name for it is "partial 16S ribosomal RNA". It matches the Rfam family "Bacterial small subunit ribosomal RNA", at positions 524 to 776 of the family's 1533-position model. The record is from RNAcentral.